This 102-nucleotide Y RNA is filed under the name Prolemur simus (greater bamboo lemur). RNAcentral describes it as "Y RNA (ENSPSMG00000006227.1)". It matches the Rfam family "Y RNA". Rfam says of the family: Y RNAs are components of the Ro ribonucleoprotein particle (Ro RNP), in association with Ro60 and La proteins. The Y RNAs and Ro60 and La proteins are well conserved, but the function of the Ro RNP is not known. Lineage: Eukaryota; Metazoa; Chordata; Mammalia; Primates; Lemuridae. The record is from Rfam by way of RNAcentral.
GGCUGGUCUGAGUGCAAUGGUGUUUACAACUAACUGAUCACAGCCAGUUACAGGUUUCUUUGUUCCUUCUUCACUGACACUGCUUCACUUGACUAGCUUUAA